Molecule: long non-coding RNA, 843 nt
Filed under: Pan troglodytes (chimpanzee)
Lineage: Eukaryota; Metazoa; Chordata; Mammalia; Primates; Hominidae
Description: lincRNA
Source: RNAcentral
CUGCCCGCCCGGUUCGCUCGCCCUUGGUUCCCACUCCCAGGUGGCUGCAGACUGGGGGGUGUUUCAUGGACGAGCAACCUCCCUGAGGAGAACCCCGGAUACGCAGGUUCAUUCGCCAGAUGCGAGUUUUCUUAAGCCGCUGCGAUUCUCUAAUUUCAGUAUGAACUCGAGUCACCAGUAAAAUGAGCAUUCAUUCAUUAAGCCAAUCAUCAGGAAUAGAUCUAGGAAGAACCUACUGUUUACUAGAAAUAGGUUAGAUCUGUGGAUAUAACAAUGAAUAAGACAAGACUGGUGGAUCUAUAGAGAAACUAUUACUGCACAGGUGAUGGGGAAAUCAAGAGUACUAUGGGGCCAAGGAGACUGUCCUGCAGCAAAUGAGGAAUAAGCUGAAACAUCAGUAGGAGCCAUCCCAGAGAAAAGGGACAGGGUUCUAGAUCCAGAGAACAACAGAAGAGCAUUCAGCGCCUGCAAGGGAGCAGGGGAUCUAAUGCAAAGCCAUUGCGUAACCAGUCAACUUUCCCCACAUCACAAGAUUGCCUAGCCUGGAUGGUCCCAGAAUGUUGAAACAAAUGUCUAAUUAGUAACGACAUUCUGAAUGCUUGGGAGCUGAGCAAAAUAUGAGGAGAAGCAACCUGAUUUUUGUUUCAUAUUAUCAUCUCCUUUAUUCCAGCAACAAAAGACACUGAAAAUAGUAAAUGCCCACUUUCAACCAUGACAGCCCUUUUAGGAUAGUAACGGCAUUCCAUAUGAGGACAUCUGUCCCCACCCCUGGAUGAAAACUUGGGUGAUCCCGAAAUUUUUCUGAUUGCUCACAGGUAAUAAAAAUCAUUUGGUCAGUUUAAA